Molecule: ribosomal RNA, 253 nt
Filed under: uncultured bacterium
Lineage: Bacteria
Description: partial 16S ribosomal RNA
Rfam family: Bacterial small subunit ribosomal RNA
Source: RNAcentral
UACAGAGGGUGCAAGCGUUUAAUCGGAAUUACUGGCGUAAAGCGCGCGUAGGUGGUUCGUUAGUUGGAUGUGAAAUCCCCGGGCCUCAACCUGGGAACUGCAUUCAAAACUGACGAGCUAGAGUAUGGUAGAGGGUGGUGGAAUUCCUGUGUAGCGGUGAAAUGCGCAGAUAUCAGGAAGAACACCCGGUGGCUAAGGCGGCUCUCUAGUACGGUACUGACGCUGAGACGCGAAAGCGUGGGGAGCGAACAGG